RNAcentral lists this ribosomal RNA (411 nucleotides) under Rhagada globosa. RNAcentral's name for it is "partial 16S ribosomal RNA". It matches the Rfam family "Bacterial large subunit ribosomal RNA", at positions 1808 to 2593 of the family's 2925-position model. The record is from RNAcentral. Lineage: Eukaryota; Metazoa; Mollusca; Gastropoda; Stylommatophora; Camaenidae.
CAAAAACAUAGUCAAAUGUUAUUAUAUUUGGUGUUUCCUGCUCAAUGAUACAAUUUAAUAGCCGCAGUACCCUGACUGUGCAAAGGUAGCAUAAUCAAUUGGCUUAUAAUUGAAGUCUAGAAUGAAAGGAUAUACGGGGAGUUACUGUAUCUGAUAUUUGUAGCGAAAUUAGUUUUCAAGUGCAAAUACUUGUAAGUAAUUGUUAGACGAGAAGACCCUAGAAAUUUGUAGUAUUGUUUAGUUGGGGCAACGUAGUAGGAAGUAACCUACAGUAAAAGACAAGAAAAUAAUUUGAAAGAAAAAAUUACUCUAGGGAUAACAGCAUAAUUUAUAAAAGUUUGUGACCUCGAUGUUGGAUUUGGGAAUUAUAGUCCAGAAGAUUUUUAAUACUGCUCUGUUCGAGCAUAAUAC